Molecule: ribosomal RNA, 322 nt
Filed under: uncultured eukaryote
Lineage: Eukaryota
Description: partial 18S ribosomal RNA
Rfam family: Eukaryotic small subunit ribosomal RNA
Source: RNAcentral
CCCUUAGAUGUCCUGGGCCGCACGCGCGCUGCACUGACAUGUUCAACAAGUUUCUCCUAGUUCGACAGGACUGGGAAAUCUUUGAACGCAUGUCGUGAUAGGGAUAGAUCAUUGCAAUUAUUGAUCUUGAACGAGGAAUUCCUAGUAAACGCGAGUCAUCAGCCCGCAUUGAUUACGUCCCUGCCCUUUGUACACACCGCCCGUCGCACCUACCGAUUGAAUGUUUCGGUGAAGAUUCCGGAUAGGACUGAUUUGAUUUAUUUCAUUUCUGACCUAAAAGCUAUCUAAACCUCAACAUUUAGAGGAAGGUGAAGUCGUAACA